Phrynosoma platyrhinos (Desert horned lizard) is the source of this 74-nucleotide non-coding RNA. The record is from the annotation of a GenBank genome assembly. Lineage: Eukaryota; Metazoa; Chordata; Lepidosauria; Squamata; Phrynosomatidae.
GACCCAGUGUGGCAUAGUGGUUUGGGUGUUGGAUUACAACUUUCGAACCCGGGGUUCAAUUCCCAGCUUGGCCA